RNAcentral lists this ribosomal RNA (876 nucleotides) under uncultured bacterium. RNAcentral's name for it is "bacterial SSU rRNA". It matches the Rfam family "Bacterial small subunit ribosomal RNA", at positions 8 to 866 of the family's 1533-position model. The record is from RNAcentral.
AGAGUUUGAUCCUGGCUCAGGACGAACGCUGGCGGCGUGCCUAAUACAUGCAAGUAGAACGCUGACUACUUUAGCUUGCUAGAGUAGAAGGAGUUGCGAACGGGUGAGUAACGCGUAGGUAACCUGCCUACUAGCGGGGGAUAACUAUUGGAAACGAUAGCUAAUACCGCAUAACAGUGUUUAACACAUGUUAGAUGCUUGAAAGAUGCAAAUGCAUCACUAGUAGAUGGACCUGCGUUGUAUUAGCUAGUUGGUGGGGUAACGGCCUACCAAGGCGACGAUACAUAGCCGACCUGAGAGGGUGAUCGGCCACACUGGGACUGAGACACGGCCCAGACUCCUACGGGAGGCAGCAGUAGGGAAUCUUCGGCAAUGGGGGCAACCCUGACCGAGCAACGCCGCGUGAGUGAAGAAGGUUUUCGGAUCGUAAAGCUCUGUUGUAAGAGAAGAACGUGUGUGAGAGUGGAAAGUUCACACAGUGACGGUAACUUACCAGAAAGGGACGGCUAACUACGUGCCAGCAGCCGCGGUAAUACGUAGGUCCCGAGCGUUGUCCGGAUUUAUUGGGCGUAAAGCGAGCGCAGGCGGUUUAAUAAGUCUGAAGUUAAAGGCAGUGGCUUAACCAUUGUUCGCUUUGGAAACUGUUAAACUUGAGUGCAGAAGGGGAGAGUGGAAUUCCAUGUGUAGCGGUGAAAUGCGUAGAUAUAUGGAGGAACACCGGUGGCGAAAGCGGCUCUCUGGUCUGUAACUGACGCUGAGGCUCGAAAGCGUGGGGAGCAAACAGGAUUAGAUACCCUGGUAGUCCACGCCGUAAACGAUGAGUGCUAGGUGUUAGGCCCUUUCCGGGGCUUAGUGCCGCAGCUAACGCAUUAAGCA